AUUUGAACCAAAAACUUGAGAAAAAAACCCCAAAACCAAAACCAAAUCUAAAGUAACAAAGGGUGAGGAAAAACAGAUGUGCCACCCGUUUUUUUACUAACUGGCAGAGAGGGGGGCAAUUAUAAACCGCGGCCGGCGGUAGAAGGGAGCAGGGCUUGGGACCAGACGCCCGCCACAGCGCCUGCGGGGCCGGGGACGCCACCGGGGCCGGGCCGCCCGCAGCCAGCACCGCCGGGUCGGGUCGAGCCGGGCCGGGGGUGGCUCUUCCCCUGCCGGAGGAACGGAGCGGGCCCGGGGCGGCCUGAUGUCGGCGGGGAAGCGGUGCUGAGGGAAUGGCGGAGGGUGGGGGGGUGUGUGAGGAGAGGCGGGCGGGCGCCACAGAGGGUUAAGGGCGGCGGGCCCGGGGCAGGCUGGGAGUUGUAGGCGCGGCGGAAUGCCGGGAGCUGUCGUAAACGCCGCCCGCUCGCCGUGGCGGGCCCCACAGGCGGCACCGCGGCCCGGUCGGCACCACCGGCCUCCAAACGCCGCGUUGAGGGAGGCCCGGGCCCCGUCGGUGCUGCUGGAGGAACGUUGGCUUUGUGUAUGUGCGUCCCCCCCACCCCGAGCCAUGAGGAUCAGCCCCAGGAUGGCUAGCGCGGCCCGGCCCGGGGUGGCCGCCUCAGGCCCCGCGAGAGAAGAAUUCAGGUGCCUGCUGGCGCUGAAGCGUGAUGGAGUUUUGGAGGGACAAAGCCAGGAAGCCAAGGAGACUCGGUAGUCAGCUGGCUAGCAAGUUUGGCCGCCUUCCGUGUGAUGGAGCGACGUAGCCCAGUUGUGGGUUGACUUUUAGGGCUUGCAUCACCCCCACCCCCGGACGGGUUUGCAUCUGCGGUUGUCUGGAGCUGGCCACCUGCCCCAACUGCCAGGAGAUGCUGCAGAGAUGUGGAUCUCCAGAGCCUUGGCAAG
Molecule: long non-coding RNA, 942 nt
Filed under: Calidris pugnax (ruff)
Lineage: Eukaryota; Metazoa; Chordata; Aves; Charadriiformes; Scolopacidae
Description: lncRNA (ENSCPUG00000019310.1)
Source: RNAcentral